CUGUGCUAGAUGGGAAGCUAGCGGUUUCCUGUAACCUGAAACCCGCUUAUGCAGGGUCGAAAAUCGCAGGGCGGGCUUUGCUGAGAUGGUCAGAUGCAGUAAGUGGUGUUGAGGCUUUCAGCUCUACGCAAUGUUUAAAUGUUUAACCCCGUCAGAUCCGGAAGGAAGCAGCGGUAGAUGUUUUUUGCAUGUGCCGUAGAUCCCUGGGGCUGAGCCGGCUGCUGUAAAUGUCCUUCGUCCAGGAGGUUCAACCUGCGGUGCACAG
RNAcentral lists this signal recognition particle RNA (265 nucleotides) under FCB group bacterium. Its description in RNAcentral is "signal recognition particle sRNA large type". It matches the Rfam family "Bacterial large signal recognition particle RNA". Rfam says of the family: The signal recognition particle (SRP) is a universally conserved ribonucleoprotein involved in the co-translational targeting of proteins to membranes. Archaeal SRP consists of a 7S RNA and homologues of the eukaryotic SRP19 and SRP54 proteins. Lineage: Bacteria; Pseudomonadati. The record is from RNAcentral.